This 253-nucleotide ribosomal RNA is filed under the name uncultured bacterium. RNAcentral's name for it is "partial 16S ribosomal RNA". It matches the Rfam family "Bacterial small subunit ribosomal RNA", at positions 524 to 776 of the family's 1533-position model. The record is from RNAcentral.
UACAGAGGGUGCGAGCGUUAAUCGGAAUUACUGGGCGUAAAGGGUGCGUAGGCGGUUCGAUAAGUCAGAUGUGAAAUCCCCGGGCUUAACUCGGGAACUGCAUUUGAUACUGUCGAACUCGAGUUCGGUAGAGGGUAGUGGAAUUCCCGGUGUAGCAGUGAAAUGCGUAGAUAUCGGGAGGAACAUCAGUGGCGAAGGCGGCUACCUGGACCGAAACUGACGCUGAGGCACGAAAGCGUGGGGAGCAAACAGG